GACGAACGCUGGCGGCGUGCUUAACACAUGCAAGUCGAACGGAAAGGCCCUGCUUUUGUGGGGUGCUCGAUUGGCGAACGGGUGUGUAACACGUGUGUAACCUGCCCUUGACUUUGGGAUAACUUCAUGAAACUGUGGCUAAUACCGGAUAUGAUCUCCUGCUGCUUGGUGGUGGUUGGAAAGUUUCGGCGGUUGGGGAUGGACUCGCGGCUUAUCAGCUUGUUGGUGGGGUAGUGGCUUACCAAGGCUUUGACGGGUAGCCGGACUGAGAGGGUGACCGGACACAUUGGGACUGAGAUACGGCACAGAAUCCUACGGGAGGCAGCAGUGGGGAAUAUUGCACAAUGGGAGGAAGCCUGAUGCAGAAACGCCGCGUGCGGGAUGACGGCCUUCGGGUUGUAAACAGAUUUCGCAUGUGACGAAGCGUGAGUGACGGUAAUGGGUAAAGAAGCAACGGCUAACUACGUG
This 468-nucleotide ribosomal RNA is filed under the name uncultured bacterium. Its description in RNAcentral is "partial 16S ribosomal RNA". It matches the Rfam family "Bacterial small subunit ribosomal RNA", at positions 28 to 507 of the family's 1533-position model. The record is from RNAcentral.